RNAcentral lists this long non-coding RNA (378 nucleotides) under Androctonus crassicauda. Lineage: Eukaryota; Metazoa; Arthropoda; Arachnida; Scorpiones; Buthidae. The record is from RNAcentral.
GUGUACAGCAUCCUCAACGGGAGACGGUGGGACCGAGGCUUCGGCGUGUCCUGCCGUCGGCUUCUCUGCUUUGGUGGCCACCUCCACGCACUGGGAAUCGUUUCCGGUUCCAUGAAAUUGAUCACAUGGCUCCCCGUUUUCUUCUUUAGGAUUUCUAUCGUCUCGACCAUAUUCCUGUCCCAGUUUUUCUCUUUUGGCUGGAUAAUCCUCGCACUUUCCCAUUUCACUUCUAUAUCGUGGAGCAGCGACCUCUGGCUUAGCGCAGUGGAGAGUUUACCGUAUCUGAGGUCUGCCUUAUGCUCUUUUAUCCUAUCCUCCAAAUUCCUUUUAAUCUGUUCCCAGAUUUAGAAAUUUUGAAAAUAAUAAUAAAAUAUGCAG